This 446-nucleotide ribosomal RNA is filed under the name uncultured bacterium. Its description in RNAcentral is "partial 16S ribosomal RNA". It matches the Rfam family "Bacterial small subunit ribosomal RNA", at positions 338 to 795 of the family's 1533-position model. The record is from RNAcentral.
CCUACGGGGGGCAGCAGUCGAGAAUCAUUCACAAUGGGGGAAACCCUGAUGGUGCGACGCCGCGUGGGGGAAUGAAGGUCUUCGGAUUGUAAACACCUGUCAUGUGGGAGCAAAUUAAAAAGAUAGUACCACAAGAGGAAGAGACGGCUAACUCUGUGCCAGCAGCCGCGGGAAUACAGAGGUCUCACGCGUUAUUAGGAAUCACUGGGCGUAAAGCGUACGUAGGCGGUUUCGUAAGUCGUGUGUGAAAGGCGCGGGCUCAACCCGCGGACGGCACAUGAUACUGCGAGACUAGAGUAAUGGAGGGGGAACCGGAAUUCUCGGUGUAGCAGUGAAAUGCGUAGAUAUCGAGAGGAACACUCGUGGCGAAGGCGGGUUCCUGGACAUUAACUGACGCUGAGGCACGAAGGCCAGGGGAGCGAAAGGGAUUAGAUACCCGAGUAGUC